RNAcentral lists this ribosomal RNA (497 nucleotides) under uncultured bacterium. RNAcentral's name for it is "partial 16S ribosomal RNA". It matches the Rfam family "Bacterial small subunit ribosomal RNA", at positions 28 to 507 of the family's 1533-position model. The record is from RNAcentral.
GUUGAACGCUGGCGGCAUGCCUAAUACAUGCAAGUCGAGCGGAUGGAGGAGGCUUUCUCCUCUCUGCUGUUAGCGGCGGGCGGGUGAUUACUACGAAGCUACCCUACAUUUGAGACUGGGGUACGUUCAGGGACCCUGAUCUCAUAUCGGACAAUAUUUUGAAACGGGUGGUUCAUCAGUGAUCGACGUUCUUGAUGACCCUUAUAGAGAUUUGCGCGCCGCAUUAGCUAGUUGGUAAGGUAACGGCUUACCAAGGCAACGAUGCGUAGCUGACCUGAGAGGGUGAUCGGCCACACUGGAACUGAGACACGGUCCAGACUCCUACGGGAGGCAGCAGUAGGGAAUCUUGGGCAAUGGGCGAAAGCCUGAUGCAGCCACGCCGCGUGUGUGAAGAAGGUCUUCGGAUUGUAAAACUCUGUUAGUUGGGAGGAAGAGAUGUGAGUUAAUAUGUUGACGUCUUGACGUUACCAAAAGAGAAAGCAACGGCUAACUUCGUG